RNAcentral lists this ribosomal RNA (119 nucleotides) under Aegilops tauschii subsp. strangulata. The record is from RNAcentral. Lineage: Eukaryota; Viridiplantae; Streptophyta; Magnoliopsida; Poales; Poaceae.
GGAUGCGAUCAUACCAGCACUAAAGCACCGGAUUCCAUCAGAACUCUGUAGUUAAGCGUGCUUGGGCGAGAGUAGUACUAGGAUGGGUGACCUCCUGGUAAGUCCUCGUGUUGCAUUCC